Molecule: ribosomal RNA, 253 nt
Filed under: uncultured bacterium
Lineage: Bacteria
Description: partial 16S ribosomal RNA
Rfam family: Bacterial small subunit ribosomal RNA
Source: RNAcentral
UACGUAGGUGGCGAGCGUUGUCCGGAUUUACUGGGCGUAAAGGGAGCGUAGGCGGACUUUUAAGUGAGAUGUGAAAUACUCGGGCUCAACUUGAGUGCUGCAUUUCAAACUGGAAGUCUAGAGUGCAGGAGAGGAGAAUGGAAUUCCUAGUGUAGCGGUGAAAUGCGUAGAGAUUAGGAAGAACACCAGUGGCGAAGGCGAUUCUCUGGACUGUAACUGACGCUGAGGAGCGAAAGCGUGGGGAGCGAACAGG